RNAcentral lists this ribosomal RNA (340 nucleotides) under uncultured bacterium. RNAcentral's name for it is "bacterial SSU rRNA". It matches the Rfam family "Bacterial small subunit ribosomal RNA", at positions 328 to 662 of the family's 1533-position model. The record is from RNAcentral.
AAAACAAACCUACGGGAGGCAGCAGUCGAGAAUAAUUCACAAUGGACGAAAGUCUGAUGGUGCAACGCCGCGUGGAGGAUGACGGUCUUCGGAUUGUAAACUCCUGUCAUCCGGGAGUAAGACCUGGCUGUGAAUAGCAGACAGGGUUGAUAGUACCGGAAGAGGAAGGGACGGCUAACUUCGUGCCAGCAGCCGCGGUAAUACGAAGGUCCCGAGCGUUGUUCGGAAUCACUGGGCGUAAAGGGAGCGUAGGCGGCGCGGUAAGUCAGAUGUGAAAUCCCGGGGCUCAACCCCGGAACUGCAUCCGAUACUGCCGUGCUAGAGGAUUGGAGAGGUAGCU